RNAcentral lists this ribosomal RNA (497 nucleotides) under uncultured bacterium. RNAcentral's name for it is "partial 16S ribosomal RNA". It matches the Rfam family "Bacterial small subunit ribosomal RNA", at positions 28 to 507 of the family's 1533-position model. The record is from RNAcentral.
GAUGAACGCUGGCGGCGUGCCUAAUACAUGCAAGUCGAGCGAACAGAUGAGGAGCUUGCUCCUCUGACGUUAGCGGCGGACGGGUGAGUAACACGUGGAUAACCUACCUAUAAGACUGGGAUAACUUCGGGAAACCGGAGCUAAUACCGGAUAAUAUAUUGAACCGCAUGGUUCAAUAGUGAAAGACGGUUUUGCUGUCACUUAUAGAUGGAUCCGCGCCGCAUUAGCUAGUUGGUAAGGUAACGGCUUACCAAGGCAACGAUGCGUAGCCGACCUGAGAGGGUGAUCGGCCACACUGGAACUGAGACACGGUCCAGACUCCUACGGGAGGCAGCAGUAGGGAAUCUUCCGCAAUGGGCGAAAGCCUGACGGAGCAACGCCGCGUGAGUGAUGAAGGUCUUCGGAUCGUAAAACUCUGUUAUUGGGGAAGAACAAAUGCGUAAGUAACUAUGCACGUCUUGACGGUACCUAAUCAGAAAGCCACGGCUAACUACGUG